RNAcentral lists this long non-coding RNA (216 nucleotides) under Elaeis guineensis (African oil palm). RNAcentral describes it as "long non-coding RNA (EGUI_LNC007760)". Lineage: Eukaryota; Viridiplantae; Streptophyta; Magnoliopsida; Arecales; Arecaceae. The record is from RNAcentral.
CUCCGAUCAGUGUGGACUUUCUUUUGCAGGCACUCGUUCCCGGCGAUCAGGCGACGAGGGGAUUGGCCGCAACAGAUUGGCGUGCUAGGAAGGGGGGCAGCGACAAGUUAGUGCUUCAUUGACAGCACCAGGGAUUGUAACCCCCACGGGAUCCAAGAUGACAAAGACAAGAGCUCAGCGGUCGAGGGUCACUGGAUCGGCGAGGCACUCUUCCCG